GAUGAACGCUGGCGGCGUGCUUAACACAUGCAAGUCGAACGGUGAAGGCGGAGCUUGCUCUGCUGGAUCAGUGGCGAACGGGUGAGUAACACGUGAGCAAUCUGCCCCUGACUCUGGGAUAAGCGCUGGAAACGGCGUCUAAUACUGGAUACGAGCUGCGAAGGCAUCUUCAGCAGCUGGAUAGAACUUCGGUCAGGGAUGAGCUCGCGGCCUAUCAGCUUGUUGGUGAGGUAACGGCUCACCAAGGCGUCGACGGGUAGCCGGCCUGAGAGGGUGACCGGCCACACUGGGACUGAGACACGGCCCAGACUCCUACGGGAGGCAGCAGUGGGGAAUAUUGCACAAUGGGCGAAAGCCUGAUGCAGCAACGCCGCGUGAGGGACGACGGCCUUCGGGUUGUAAACCUCUUUUAGCAGGGAAGAAGCGAAAGUGACGGUACCUGCAGAAAAAGCGCCGGCUAACUACGUG
This 468-nucleotide ribosomal RNA is filed under the name uncultured bacterium. RNAcentral's name for it is "partial 16S ribosomal RNA". It matches the Rfam family "Bacterial small subunit ribosomal RNA", at positions 28 to 507 of the family's 1533-position model. The record is from RNAcentral.